AACGAACGCUGGCGGCAUGCCUAACACAUGCAAGUCGAACGAGACCUUCGGGUCUAGUGGCGCACGGGGGCGUAACGCGUGGGAACCUGCCCGUAGGUUCGGAAUAACUCCCCGAAAGGGGUGCUAAUACCGGAUAAUGUCUUCGGACCAAAGAUUUAUCGCCUUUGGAUGGGCCCGCGUUGGAUUAGCUAGUUGGUAGGGUAAAAGCCUACCAAGGCGACGAUCCAUAGCUGGUCUGAGAGGAUGAUCCGCCACACUGGGACUGAGACACGGCCCAGACUCCUACGGGAGGCAGCAGUGGGGAAUAUUGGACACUGGGCGAAAGCCUGAUCCAGCAAUGCCGCGUGAGUGAUGAAGGCCUUAGGGUUGUAAAGCUCUUUUACCCGGGAUGAUAAUGACAGUACCGGGAGAAUAAGCUCCGGCUAACUCCGUG
This 433-nucleotide ribosomal RNA is filed under the name uncultured bacterium. RNAcentral describes it as "partial 16S ribosomal RNA". It matches the Rfam family "Bacterial small subunit ribosomal RNA", at positions 29 to 507 of the family's 1533-position model. The record is from RNAcentral.